UACAGAGGGUGCGAGCGUUAAUCGGAAUUACUGGGCGUAAAGCGCGCGUAGGCGGCUUUGCAAGUCGAGUGUGAAAUCCCCAGGCUUAACCUGGGAACUGCAUUCGAGACUGCAUAGCUAGAGUAUGGGAGAGGGAAGUGGAAUUUCAGGUGUAGCGGUGAAAUGCGUAGAUAUCUGAAGGGACAUCAGUGGCGAAAGCGACUUCCUGGACCAAUACUGACGCUCAUGUGCGAAAGCGUGGGGAGCAAACAGG
RNAcentral lists this ribosomal RNA (253 nucleotides) under uncultured bacterium. RNAcentral's name for it is "partial 16S ribosomal RNA". It matches the Rfam family "Bacterial small subunit ribosomal RNA", at positions 524 to 776 of the family's 1533-position model. The record is from RNAcentral.